CAGUAGCUGAGUGGAUAACGCGAUGGCAUUCGAAGCAAAGGGUACUGGGUUCGAGUCCCAGAGUGAA
Molecule: transfer RNA, 67 nt
Filed under: Schistosoma mansoni
Lineage: Eukaryota; Metazoa; Platyhelminthes; Trematoda; Strigeidida; Schistosomatidae
Source: RNAcentral